ACUCAUACGGUAGGCAGCAGUGGUGAAUUAUUGGACAAUUGGGUACGGAGCAUCGANCCAUGCCGCAUGCGCGUGUGUAAGAAGGGCCUUAUGGUUGUAAAAGCACUUUAAGCGAGGAGGAGGCUACUGAGACUAACUACUCUUGGAUAGUGGACGUUACUCGCAGAAUAAGCACCGGCUAACUCUGUGCCAGCAGCCGCGGUAAUACAGAGGGUGCGAGCGUUAAUCGGAUUUACUGGGCGUAAAGCGUGCGUAGGCGGCCAUUUAAGUCAAAUGUGAAAUCCCGCAGCUGACUUAGGAUUGGCAAUUGCUGAUACUGGAUGGCUAGAGUAUGGGAGAGGAUGGUAGAAUUCCAGGUGUAGCGGUGAAAUGCGUAGAGAUCUGGAGGAAUACCGAUGGCGAAGGCAGCCAUCUGGCUAAUACUGACGCUGAGGUACG
Molecule: ribosomal RNA, 438 nt
Filed under: uncultured bacterium
Lineage: Bacteria
Description: bacterial SSU rRNA
Rfam family: Bacterial small subunit ribosomal RNA
Source: RNAcentral